ACAGUCACAUCACGCUGAAAUAUCGGUUCCCGUACGAUCAACGAAAUUAAACAACGUCGAACCCGAUCAGUCCCAAGAUGGGUAACCGCUUGGGAAUGCCAGGUGCUGGU
Acanthosepion pharaonis is the source of this 110-nucleotide non-coding RNA. The record is from the annotation of a GenBank genome assembly. Lineage: Eukaryota; Metazoa; Mollusca; Cephalopoda; Sepiida; Sepiidae.